Molecule: ribosomal RNA, 437 nt
Filed under: uncultured bacterium
Lineage: Bacteria
Description: bacterial SSU rRNA
Rfam family: Bacterial small subunit ribosomal RNA
Source: RNAcentral
AACGCGAAGAACCUUACCUAGGUUUGACAUGCUAGUGAAAGCCUUGUGAAAACAAGGUCCUCCUUCGGGACACUAGCACAGGUGCUGCAUGGCUGUCGUCAGCUCGUGUCGUGAGAUGUUGGGUUAAGUCCCGCAACGAGCGCAACCCUUGCCCCGUGUUACUAACAGGUAAAGCUGAGGACUCUCGGGGGACUGCCGGCGUCAAGCCGGAGGAAGGUGGGGACGACGUCAAGUCAUCAUGGUCCUUACGUCUAGGGCUGCAAACAUGCUACAAUGGCCAGUACAAAGGGCUGCUAAACCGUGAGGUGGAGCGAAUCCCAAAAAGCCGGUCUCAGUUCGGAUUGGGGUCUGCAACUCGACCCCAUGAAGUCGGAGUCGCUAGUAAUCGCAGAUCAGCAACGCUGCGGUGAAUACGUUCCCGGGCCUUGUACACACCG